GAGACUCUGUGCGCGUGCAUAUCAAUAAGCGGAGGAAAAGAAACUAACAAGGAUUCCCCUAGUAACGGCGAGUGAGGCGGGAAGAGCUCAAAUUUGAAAUCUUAAAGGUUUUACCCUUGACGAAUUGUAGUUUAAAGAAGUGUUUUCUGUUGAAGUUUCGCUAAAAGUUCUUUGGAAUAGGACAUCAUAGAGGGUGAGAAUCCCGUAUUUGUACCAUUACUUUCCAACUGUGUGAUACACUUUCAAAGAGUCGGAUUGUUUGGGAAUGCAGUCCGAAGAUGGGUGGUAAAUUUCAUCUAAAGCUAAAUAUUGGCGAGAGACCGAUAGCGAACAAGUACCGUGAGGGAAAGAUGAAAAGAACUUUGAAAAGAGAGUUAAACAGUACGUGAAAUUGUCAAAAGGGAAGCGCUUGACACCAGCGUUGUUUAGUUGAAAAUCAAUUCAAUAGUUUUUGAUUCUAAGUAGUAUUGACUUCAUCAGCUUGCUGCUUUCUUCUCAGAAAUUAUUGAAUGCACUUUUCGGUUAACAAGUCAACAUCAAUUUCUUUUGUUGUAAAAGGGUAAGAGGAAGGUGGCUUGCGCUUCGGCUCAAGUGUUUAUAGCCUUUUAUCUCUGCAAUCGGAGAGAUUGAGGUCUGCAGCGUAGAUCCUUCGGGGUUAGAUACAUUGGUGCUAAGCUAUAGCCUUGUAUAGACAACUUGUUGACUAUGCUCAGUCAUGUAGCUUACUCGCUGAUGCUAUUUUACCUACGCUUAGGAUGUUGAAGAUGUAGCACAUCAU
Molecule: ribosomal RNA, 778 nt
Filed under: uncultured Neocallimastigales
Lineage: Eukaryota; Fungi; Neocallimastigomycota; Neocallimastigomycetes; Neocallimastigales
Description: partial large subunit ribosomal RNA
Rfam family: Eukaryotic large subunit ribosomal RNA
Source: RNAcentral